Long non-coding RNA from Oxyura jamaicensis (ruddy duck), 904 nucleotides. RefSeq lists it as uncharacterized. The transcript is spliced from 2 exons. NCBI's taxonomy places the organism in Eukaryota, Metazoa, Chordata, Aves, Anseriformes, Anatidae. The record is from RefSeq and is a predicted model, not a curated record.
CAAAGAGUGCAACGAUUUCAAGGUUGCCUAAAGGACACCAAAUCCCACUGAUCUAGAGCAAGACUUAGAUCAUGCCACUACCUUCAUCUGAUUCUGUGAUUCAGUCCCUUUACUUGAAGCUAGGUCUAUAAGCAAAUUAGUUGGCUUGUGCAGAGAUUGCUCAGAUAGAUGCAGACAUUACCUUGAACUCCCUUGUUACUCACACACUUUACCAAGUUGUAAGAAUCUUCAGAAGAAUCUAAUCUGCUGAUUAGAUCAUCCUGUGCUGGAUAGCAACUAAGGAAGAAAUGAUAUUUGCACAGAGAACAACUGAGGAGACGUGGGAAUAAAUACAUGCCAACUCUUUGGUAAGGCUUUACCUGCUAUGCCUAAUUUUGCAGAAAGAUAUGGAAAGAAUGGAAAGGUUAAAAAGAAGGGCAAAGAAUAUAAGUAGCUUAGUUCUUAACUUCAGUUAUGAAUGUAAGCCAUGAAAACUCUGACAAGCCUUGAAAAGUAUUUAUUACAAAACAGGAAAUCACAGGUCUGAUUAUGUUGCCACUCAUGAGUGUGAAAUUCUAGAACAGACGUCCCACAGGAAAGCUACUGCAGGAAAGGAUUUAAUACAGGGCAUGAAUGAAGCACUGUGCCUCAAGGAGCAAUGGAGUGAGCCCAGCCUCCUAAGCCUGUUUUUUCUUCAAAAUGAGCAACUCUGCUUGAAGAGGAAAAAGAAUUUCCAGUCAGAUGGACCAGAAUCAAUGAUGAUUCUGUGGCUCAGCAAUGAUUCAAAGGGACUGAUGUUAAUAGGAGUAACUAAUGUGUGUUUAAGAAGCAAUUAUGGGAUAAAUUUUAUCAAACAAUAAAUCCAAUUUUGUUAUAUGCAUAUGCAACACACUAUUAUCAAGUGACUAAAAUUCAUGCUAGAAAA